Molecule: RNase P RNA, 454 nt
Filed under: Aliterella atlantica CENA595
Lineage: Bacteria; Bacillati; Cyanobacteriota; Cyanophyceae; Chroococcidiopsidales; Aliterellaceae
Description: Bacterial RNase P class A
Rfam family: Bacterial RNase P class A
About the family: Ribonuclease P (RNase P) is a ubiquitous endoribonuclease, found in archaea, bacteria and eukarya as well as chloroplasts and mitochondria.
Source: Rfam by way of RNAcentral
AGAGUAGGCGCAGGUGGUUGCAGAUUAGGCAAGGCAGCUAAUUUGAGGAAAGUCCGGGCUUCCGAAAGACCAAACUUGCUGGGUAACGCCCAGUGCGAGCGAUCGUGAGGAUAGUGCCACAGAAAGAUACCGCCUUUACAGCGAUCGGUGAAACAGUAACCAGUUACCAGUUUUUGGUCACUGGUCACUGGUUACUGGUCACUGUAUAAAGGUAAGGGUGCAAAGGUGCGGUAAGAGCGCACCAGCAGCGCCGAGAGACGCUGGCUCGGUAAACCCCGGUUGGAAGCAAGGUCAAAGGAACUAUGGUUGGUCUUUUACCCGUUCCACUGCCCUUAAACCGCUUGAGGUGUUUGGUAACAAACAUCCCAGAUAGAUAACCGCCCUGAUGAAAAAAGACGUAGCAGUGCUACGUCUCUACGUUAGAACAGAACCCGGCUUAUGUCCGACUCUUUUC